Molecule: unclassified non-coding RNA, 253 nt
Filed under: uncultured Halomonadaceae bacterium
Lineage: Bacteria; Pseudomonadati; Pseudomonadota; Gammaproteobacteria; Oceanospirillales; Halomonadaceae
Description: contains 16S-23S intergenic spacer region
Rfam family: Bacterial small subunit ribosomal RNA
Source: RNAcentral
UACGGAGGGUGCGAGCGUUAAUCGGAAUUACUGGGCGUAAAGCGCGCGUAGGCGGCUAAGUAAGCCGGUUGUGAAAGCCCGGGGCUCAACCUGGGAAUAGCCUCCGGAACUGUUUAGCUAGAGGGCAGAAGAGGAAGGUAGAAUUCCCGGUGUAGCGGUGAAAUGCGUAGAGAUCGGGAGGAAUACCAGUGGCGAAGGCGGCCUCCUGGUCUGACACUGACGCUGAGGUGCGAAAGCGGGGGUAGCAAACAGG